RNAcentral lists this ribosomal RNA (600 nucleotides) under Tetrapisispora phaffii. RNAcentral's name for it is "partial small subunit ribosomal RNA". The stretch from base 99 to 600 matches the Rfam family "Microsporidia small subunit ribosomal RNA", at positions 1 to 818 of the family's 1311-position model. Lineage: Eukaryota; Fungi; Ascomycota; Saccharomycetes; Saccharomycetales; Saccharomycetaceae. The record is from RNAcentral.
CGAAAGAUUGAUUCAGUUACUUAUUAGAAUGAUAAUUUUUCAAAAUUAAAUUGAUUAAAAAUAAAAUUCAUAAUUAACUUAAAUAAUGAUAUAAGUUAUAAAAUCUAUAUUUUAUAUUAUAUUAUAUAUAUUUAAUAUAUAUAUAUAUAAUAAUUAAUAAUCCUUACCAAUAUUUGUGCCAGCAGCAGCGGUAAUACAAAGAGGGUAAACGUUAAUCAUAAUGGUUUAAAGAAUUCGUAGAAUUAUUAUAAAAUACCGUGUCGGUAGUAUCUACAAAGGUAGGUAUAAUUGAUGAGGUUAACAUAAUUAGAAUUAAUAAAUUUAAUUUAAGAAUUAUAAUAGUAAAGAUGAAAUAAUUAUGAUAAUUAUAAGACUUAUAUAUGUGAAAAUAUAAAUUAAAUAUUAAUUGACAUUGAGGAAUGAAAGCUAAAGUAGCAAUACGGAUUCGAUACCCGAGUAGUUUUAGCUGUAAACUAUGAAUACCUAUCGGGCCCUCUUGGGGUCCGAUUAAAUGAAAAUUAAAGUAUUCCACCUGAAGAGUAUAGUCGCAAGAUUGAAACUCAAGACAUUAGACGGUUACAGACUUAAGCAGUGGAGCAU